Molecule: long non-coding RNA, 564 nt
Organism: Balaenoptera musculus (blue whale)
Lineage: Eukaryota; Metazoa; Chordata; Mammalia; Artiodactyla; Balaenopteridae
Exons: 3
Source: RefSeq, a predicted model, not a curated record
UCCACCAUACGCUUAAUAAGCUCUGUGUCCCUUCAAUGCUGGUACUUUCCCAGACUCUUCACAUCCCACAGUCUUGGAGCUCCUGAUUUAAUGCACUGGGCUGGCUUUCCGUAUCAGCUGGUUCCGCAUCUGGGGAUUCAACCAACCUCCGAUCAAAAUUCAUUCUGUUGUUUGUGGAACUGCGGAUGCAGAACCCUCCGAUAUGGAGGGCCAAGUGUACUGCGCCAUUUCCUAUAAGGGACUUGAGCAUCCCUGUAUUCUGGUGUCCACAGUGGCUCAUGGAACCCAUCUCUAGAAGGUGGGGCUGAGAGGGAAAUGAACCUCUUCAGCGGCAUCAGCAGAGCUGGGGAAGCCAGGUGUCACUCACCGGCUCUCUUUCCCCCAAAGGGAGAAAUCGGGGACCAAGGAAGAUCUCUCGGCCCUGAACUCUGACACCUUGAAGAAGCGGUGAUGCAGGGUCCCAUCGAGGAUACCGCAUUGCAUUUAAUCAUAACAUCUCCUUAGUCUCCUCUGGAAUGUAAGCUUAAACAGUCAUUCUGGAAUUUCCUGGUCAGCAGUAGAGAG